Molecule: ribosomal RNA, 429 nt
Filed under: uncultured bacterium
Lineage: Bacteria
Description: partial 16S ribosomal RNA
Rfam family: Bacterial small subunit ribosomal RNA
Source: RNAcentral
CCUACGGGUGGCUGCAGUCGAGGAUCUUCGGCAAUGCGCGCAAGCGCGACCGAGCGACGCCGCGUGUGCGACGAAGGCCUUCGGGUUGUAAAGCACUGUCGAGGGGGAGGCCAUCCCUGGAGGAAGCUCGGGCUAAGUUCGUGCCAGCAGCCGCGGUAAGACGAACCGAGCGAACGUUGUUCGGAAUCACUGGGCUUAAAGGGCGCGUAGGCGGGCUGCCGCGUCCGGGGUGAAAUCCUCCGGCUCAACCGGGGAAGGGCCUCGGGUACGGGCGGCCUCGAGGGGGGUAGGGGCGUGCGGAACUGUGGGUGGAGCGGUGAAAUGCGUUGAUAUCCACAGGAACUCCGGUGGCGAAGGCGGCACGCUGGACCCCCUGACGCUGAGGCGCGAAAGCCAGGGGAGCGAACGGGAUUAGAUACCCUUGUAGUC